This 717-nucleotide long non-coding RNA is filed under the name Scophthalmus maximus (turbot). Its description in RNAcentral is "lncRNA (ENSSMAG00000022334.1)". The record is from RNAcentral. Lineage: Eukaryota; Metazoa; Chordata; Actinopteri; Pleuronectiformes; Scophthalmidae.
AUGAGGAUCAAUUCCCUCCGUCAGCUGUGCAGUGCUGGGCUCAUCCCUCCCCUCCGUCAGCCACAGGCGGAGGGUCUCGGUGUCCUCUCGCCUGACUUUGGUGUCAUUGACCUGUGGAGCACUGUGCUGCCACAAGAGGAGCAGUCAGGCUGCAUCCCUCCUCGGGUUUUUAGUUUCAGUGAAGCAACUGAAUCUGACUGUUUUGUGGAUGAGACACUUGAGCAGAAAGCAUGUGAGCACCAGCAAGAGGAAGCGCUGGGACGCUUCCCUCAAGGUGUCUCCUGUUCCCUGCUGACGGGCCUCCACCACGGCCCCCUGUCCGAGGAGCCUGUAGCCAGUGGCAAGCAGGACAGCAGCUCCGCCCUCAGCCCUGUGCGCAGCUUGAUUUCGAAUAGCUCUGCUCCUUCUGAAACCACCGACGAGAGCCCCCACAAAGCCCGACUAAAGACGGAUGAGACCUUUGUCCAGAGCGCCACUGCCAGGCUGGAUCAUUGCAAAGUGGGCUGCUGGUGGAAACAGGACACUGAGACCUGCGGAGCCUCCAGUGGCCUCUUAUCUGCUGCAGAACCAGCAGCCGCUUUCACAUCAGGCGGACAAAGAGGAGCCUGCAGGUUGGAGUUCUGGGACGGCGUCACAAGGCGCCAUACGAAAUGGAAGAAUGCGAUCGAGGAAAGGGAAACGAGUGAAGAGGGCAUGAAGUGUCUGAGGACAGACUGA